GGUCUGCCUAUGUCACAUCUAGAUGUGAGAUAAUACCUCACAUCUAAUGUGACAUCAUCCCGUAAUCCCCCACCCCUUCGUUGACAAAUCUUUCCAUCACUCAGCUUGUUAGUUUGUCUCUGCCUGUUUGUUUGUCUGUCACGGCCUGUCCCAGCCCACCCAGCCCGGGCACAUCCCUCCUCCCACCCGGGCAAUGUUGUUGGGCUUUUUCAUGGGCUGUUGUUUGUUUGUGAAAAAAAACUGCGCCUUGUUUGCCUGGGCCUUGUUGACAAAAUAAAAAAUAGCAAGUUUGUUAUUUUUCCCCCUAUGGGGAAAAUGCUAGUGGCAGAUUACCCCUGUGGAGAAAAUGCAGAUACUACAAAAAAAAAACUGAAGAAAAACCUGACAUAAUGUGACAUUCGAAAUACCAAUCCUUGAAAUACUGAUAACUCAAUAACAAAAAAUGAUAGGUGAUAAAAUAAAAUGCUAGGAGGAUUACGAUCUUACCUGCAUAGAAGAAUGAGGAUUGGCUCUGAGCAACUGAAAAUAACUGCGCCCGGAGACUGCGGCCUCCAGCCCCUGAGACUGAAAUUGAAACUGAUCAAACUUAAAUUGAAACUGUGAAAUCACGAGGAAACUGAAACUGAAUUACUGAAAACACUGGUACAUUAUUUUAGCCAAUUCAAAGAUGAAAUAGCUGAACAAAAAAGAAAACCGAACACUCAGGAAAAAAUAAAAUAAUGAAAGAUUGAACAAGAAUUAAGACUAAAUUGAGAUAAUGACAGAAGAUGACUGAUAACCGAACAUCAGACACUUGUUUAAACAAAUAAUUGUUCAACAGACAAAACAAAACAAACACAAGCACUGGAUCACAAAGUAGCGCAGAUCUUCGAACUAAAAAAGAGUAACAACUCUUCAGAUCUUGUUAAUGACCAUGAUCAUUUUGAACUCCUCGAUCGCUGCGCCUAAUGGUGAUCAGUACACCAUCGCCCACACUAAGGUUCUAUUCAAACAGAAACUCCUGCCACCCCUCCUUUUAAAAUUCAACUCAACCGUCCCGGCAAGUCUUGUACGCAACAGUGCUGAUGCUCCCUAUUCCUAGACGUAUAUGCCAGCAAUAUGAAGACUCGAAACCACCUUUAAAGGUAUUUUCUGAAGAGAAAAAAAAGAAAAAAAGUUAACCACUGUUAGACUUCGAAAAAAACAUGGCAUAUAAAAAAUACAUAAAAAGGACUAAAAGAUAAAAAAAGAAAAGAUGAACACUUACCAUCACAAACUUUUUUAUGUUUAUCUUGGUCAAGCAGUGAACAAACGGCACACCCAAGAACAUAUUAUCGACUGGAAGAAUGUCCAACAAGUUUACAAACUCAUCAUCGUCCAGCUUCAUGGACCGGUUGAUCACUGUGGACUCCCAGACUUCAUCGAACCUAGUGGAGGGGCUAAGAUCCACAUAUGCAAGAUACACCUUCACGACUGGUCCGUUCAGAUCAAAAUGGACAGGGAUCCCUCACUCAAAGACUUAUGCUCCAUGAAACUCUCCCAUCCAGAACCGCAUAUGCGGGUCAUUGUUUGCCCUUUCCUUAAACUUGCAACAAAAACUUCCCCACUCUUAGACUCAAAAGUCAAAGCUGUGUCUGUGAUGCUAUUGAACUCUGGCCUGACAUUGCAUGGAGCGAUCUGCACACAAAAAAUGAAGGAUAAUUUUAUUAGAAAAAUAAUAAGCACACACGAUCAGAGGAUUUAGUGAGUGCAAAAAAACACGAACGAAAACAGAGAGUUACCACUCAUCGCUAAGUCUCCAGCCAGCCAAAUACCAAAUGACCUGGCACUGACAUAGUGGUUGCGGCAGUCAUUGGACAAGCAGAUGUUGCACUCCAUUUGUAACAAAAACAAGCAUUUAUGAGAAAAAAAUAUCGCUUAAGAAACGAAAUAAUAGUGAACACUUAACUAAACUGGAAACAGACUAGGGGCAAGGAAGGUCUAGCCGUUGUGGGGGCAGGGGAAGCAGGCCUGGAAUCUUUGUUUUCCAUGGUGAAACUUCAUCGCAUCCCAGCUAUAUUGUUGCAUGGAAUAAAAAGCGAGAGUAGCAGCCAGUGGCAGAUGAAAAGACUACAAAUAGACUAUGUACUGAAUCACACUCAAAUUUAUUAAAGUGUUUCAGAUCACCUCCCCCCACGCAUGCAUGGGGGCUGUUAUUCUUUCAGGAAUGAAUAGUGUGGGACACAUACUGCAAAGCUAAAAAUGACACCUACUGAUAACUGAAGAAAAUGAGACCUAUUGGAACCUAAACCUGACACCGCUCCUUGAUGCCAGUAAAUAUCUAAAUUAACCUCGCGCAAUCAGUUUUCGGAAGAAAAAAAAAAGACCGCAACAACUUAGCAUGGCCGUGUGAAAACACACCACAAAAAAAAUGGAAGACUGGAGCUCUAGAUAAAAAAUGGACGACUGAAAGGAACCGACGAACAACUAAUACACACCAGAAAAUAAAAAAGAUUAGCAAAAGAUGGACCAUGUUACUGAUCAAAUAGAGCAAACAUCUUAAUAUGGUCAUGUAAAAACUGAGAAACUCAGGGCUUGCGUUAUUGCAUAUUUUUUUACCAAAAUUAUGAAAAGCAUCUAUAAUGUGGGUCAUUCCUGAAUCUCCAACUGGUUGAUGUCCAGAGUCGAAUCACAUGACAAGGAUAAACACGAGCAACAUCCUAGUCGUAAUAAAACAUGACCCCGGACUUGCAACUGGCCGUGACUACACAAACUAAAAAGGGAAAAGGGCCUGAGUUGCGAGUCAAAUGUUUGCUUGCAACUGGGCCCCACUCUCGAAUUGAAGAGUCCAUGGUCAACUUGAAACUAGGGUGCUUAUACAAACUAAAAAAACAUAAAUGGCCCCCCGAGUUGCGAUUCCGGGGUCAACUUGCAACUAGGGUGCCUAUACACACUAUAAAAAACAUAAAAAAAGGCCCUCGAGUUGCAAGUCUAGGGUCACUUGCAACUGGUCACAACUAUACAACUAUAAAGGGAAAGGGGCCUAGUUGCAAGUCGAAUGUUGAUUUGCAACUGGGCCCCACUCCCCGAGUUGCGAGUUCGGGGUCAACUUGAAACUAAGGUGCUUAUACAAACUACAAAAAACAUAAAUGUCCCCCCGAGUUGCGAGUCCGGGGUCAACUUGCAACUAGGGUGCCUAUACACACUACAAAAAACAUAAAAAUGGCCCUCAAGUUGCAAGUCUAAGGUCAACUUGCAACUUUUCACGACUAUACAACUAUAAAGGGAAAAGGGCACAGUUGCAAGUUGAAUGUUUGCAAGUGGGCCCUACCCCCCGAGUUACGAGUCCAGGGUCAACUUGCAACUAUGGUGCCUAUACAAACUACAAAAAACAUAAAAUGACCCCUGAGUUGUGAGUUCAGGGUCAACUUGCAACUGGUCUUGACUAUACAACUAUAAAGGGAGAAGAAUGGACUUGCAACUAGGGCAACUACUACUAAGAAGCCCCAGCUGCGAGUCGAUGGUGGACUUGAAAUUGGCUAUUACAACUACAAUAGCCCCAUUUGCCAGUCGAGGGUGAACAUGCAACCGGGACAAGCCUAGUUGCGAGUCGAGAGUGCACUUGCAAUUGGGACAACUACACUACAACAUAAGCCCAGCUGUGAGUAGACGGUGCACUUGCAACUAGUGCAACCCCUACAACUAGCAAAAAAAGCACCAGUUGCAAUUAGGGCAACUACACUACUACAAGCCCAGUUGCGACUUACAACUAGGCCACCCCUACAAAGGAAGCCCCAGUUGCAAGUCGAUGGUGGACUUGCAACUGGGGCAACUACUGCUACAAAGCCCUAGUUGUGAGUCAAUGGUGGACUUGCAACUUGGGCAAUUACAACUACAAAAAGGCCCCGGUUGCGAGUCGAGGGUGAACAUGCAACUGGGACAAUUACAACUACAAAGCCCUAGUUGCGAAUCAAUGGUGGACUUGCAACUGCAGCAAUUACAAAUAUAAAAAGGCCCAGUUGUGAGUCGAGGGUGAACAAAAAGGCCUCGGGUUGUAACCGGGGCAACCUACAAAUACAAAAAGGAGCUCCCGGUUGUGAGUCGAGGGUUAAGUUGCAACUGGGGGUCAACUACAACCAAGGAAAAACAAGCCCCUAGUUGCGAGUGUUGGGGAACAUAGUAAUUUCAAAAAAUUUCCUACGUACACGCAAGAUCAUGGUGAUGGCAUAGCAACGAGAGGGGAGAGUGUUGUCCACGUACCCUCGUAGACCGUAAGCGGAAGCGUUAUGACAACGCGGUUGAUGUAGUCGUACGUCUUCACGAUCCGACCGAUCCAAGUACCGAACGUACGGCACCUCCGAGUUCAGCACACGUUCAGCUCGAUGACGAUCCCCGGGCUCCGAUCCAGCAAAGCUUCGGGGAUGAGUUCCGUCAGCACGACAGCGUGGUGACGAUGAUGAUGCUCUACCGGCGCAGGGCUUCGCCUAAACUCCGCGACGAUAUGACCGAGGUGGAAUAUGGUGGAGGGGGGCACCGCACACGGCUAAGGAACGAUCCGUAGAUCAACUUGUGUUGUGCCUAGAGGUGCCCCCCUGCCCCCGUAUAUAAAGGAGCAAAGGGGGAGGGGGCGGCCGGCCUAGGAGGGGCGCGCCAAGGGGAGUCCUACUCCAACCGGGAGUAGGACUCCCUCCUUCCUUGUUGGAGUAGGAGAAGGGGGAAAGAGGGGGAGAGGAGGAAGGAAAAGGGGGCCGCACCCCUUGUCCAAUUCGGACCAGAGGGGGGCUGCGCGCCUCCUUCCUUUCGGCCUCUCUCCUCUAUUCCCGUAUGGCCCAAUAAGGCCCAUAUACUCCCCGGCGAAUUCCCGUAACUCUCCGGUACUCCGAAAAAUACCCGAAUCACUCGGAACCUUUCCGAAGUCCGAAUAUAGUCGUCCAAUAUAUCGAUCUUUACGUCUUGACCAUUUCGAGACUCCUCGUCAUGUCCCCGGUCUCAUCCGGGACUCCGAACUCCUUCGGUACAUCAAAACUCAUAAACUCAUAAUAUAACUGUCAUCGAAACCUUAAGCAUGCGGACCCUACGGGUUCGAGAACUAUGUAGACAUGACCUAGAACUAUUCUCGGUCAAUAACCAAUAGCGGAACCUGGAUGCCCAUAUUAGUUCCUACAUAUUCUACGAAGAUCUUUAUCGGUCAAACCGCAUAACAACAUACGUUGUUCCCUUUGUCAUCGGUAUGUUACUUGCCCGAGAUUUGAUCGUCGGUAUCCAAUACCUAGUUCAAUCUCGUUACCGGCAAGUCUCUUUACUCGUUACGUAAUGCAUCAUCCCGUAACCAACUCAUUGGUCACAUUGCUUGCAAGGCUUAUAGUGAUGUGCAUUACCGAGAGGGCCCAGAGAUACCUCUCCGACAAUCGGAGUGACAAAACCUAAUCUCGAAAACGCCAACUCAACAUGUACCUUCGGAGACACCUGUAGUACUCCUUUAUAAUCACCUAGUUACGUUGUGACGUUUGGUAGUACCCAAAGUGUUCCUCCGGUAAACGGGAGUUGCAUAAUCUCAUAGUUACAGGAACUUUUAUAAGUCAUGAAGAAAGCAAUAGCAACAUACUAAACGAUCAAGUGCUAGGCUAACGGAAUGGGUCAUGUCAAUCACAUUAUUCUCCUAAUGAUGUGAUCCCAUUAAUCAAAUGACAAAACAUGUCUAUGGUUAGGAAACAUAACCAUCUUUGAUUAAUGAGCUAGUCAAGUAGAGGCAUACUAGUGACUAUAUGUUUGUCUAUGUAUUCACACAUGUAUCAUGUUUCCGGUUAAUACAAUUCUAGCAUGAAUAAUAAACAUUUAUCAUGAAAUAAGGAAAUAAAUAAUAACUUUAUUAUUGCCUCUAGGGCAUAUUUCCUUCAGUCUCCCACUUGCACUAGAGUCAAUAAUCUAGUUCACAUCGCUAUGUGAUUUAACACCAAUAUUCACAUCUGCAUGUGAUUAAUACACAUAGGUCACAUCAUCAUGUGAUCAACACCCGAAGGGUUAACUAGAGUCAAUAAUCUAGUUCACAUCGCUAUGUGAUUAACACCCAAAAGAGUACUAAGUAUGAUCAUGUUUUGCUCGUGAGAGAAGCUUAGUCAACGGGUCUGUCAUAUUCAGAGCCGUAUGUAUUUCGCAAAUAUUCUAUGUCCACAAUGCUCUGCACGGAGCUACUCUAGCUAAUUGCUCCCACUUUCAAUAUGUAUCCAGAUUGAGACUUAGAGUCAUCUGGAUUGGUGUAAAAGCUUGCAUCGUUGUAACUUUAACGACGGGCUCUUUUAUCACCUCCAUAAUUGAGAAACAUCUCCUUAGUCCUCACUAAGGAUAUUCUUGACCCAUGUCCAGUGAUCUACUUAUUAGAUCAAAACUGUAUUCCUUUGCCAAACACAGAGCAAGGUAUACAAUAGGUCUGGUUCACAGCAUAGCAUACUUUAUAGAACCUAUGACUGAGGCAUAGGGAAUGACUUUUCAUUCUCUUUCUAUUUUCUGCAAUGGUCGGGUCUUGAGUCUUACUCAACUUCACACCUUGUAACACAGGAAAGAACUCCUUCUUUGGUUGUUCCAUUUUGAACUAUUUCAAAAAUUUAUCAAGGUAUGUACUCAUUGAAAAAUCUUAUCAAGCGUCUUGAUCUAUCUAUAUAGAUCUUGAUGCUCAAUGUGUAAGCAGCUUCACCGAGGUCUUGCUUUGAAAAACUCUUAUUCAAGUAUCCUUUCAUGCUAUCCAGAAUUUCCAUAUCAUUUCCAAUUAACAAUAUGUCAUCCACAUAUAAUACUAGAAAUGCUACAGAGCUCCCACUCACUUUCUUGUAAGUACAGACUUCUUCAAAAAGUUUGUAUAAAACCAUAUGCUUUGAUCAACUCAUCAAAGCAUAUAUUCCAACUCCGAGAUGCUUGCACCAGUCCAUAGAUGGAUCGCUAGAGCUUGCACAAUUUGUUAGCACCUUUAGGAUUGACAAAACCUUCUGGUUGCAUCAUAUACAACUCUUCUUUAAGAAAACCAUUAAGGAAUGCAGUUUUGUUUAUCCAUUUGCCAGAUUUCAUAAAAUGCGGCAAUUGCUAACAUGAUUCAGACAGACUUAAGCAUAGAUACGAGUGAAAAACUCUCAUUGUAGUCAACACCUUGAACUUGUCGAAAACCUUUUGCGACAAUUCUAGCUUUGUAGAUAGUAACACUAUCAGCGUCCGUCUUCCUCUUGAAGAUCCAUUUAAUCUCAAUGUCUCACCGAUCAUUGGGCAAGUCAAUCAAAGUCCAUACUUUGUUUUCAUACAUGGAUCUUAUCUCAGAUCUCAUGGCCUCAAGCCAUUUUGCGGAAUCUGGGCUCACCAUCGCUUCUUCAUAGUUCGUAGGUUCGUCAUGGUCUAGUAACAUAACUUCCAGAACAGGAUUACCGUACCACUCUGGUGCGGAUCUUACUCUAUAAGACCUACGAGAUUCUGUAGUAACUUAAUCUGAAGUUUCAUGAUCAUCAUCAUUAACUUCCUCACUAAUUGGUGUAGUAGUCACAGGAACAGAUUUCUGUGAUGAACUACUUUCAAAUGAGGGAGCAGGUACAGUUACCUCAUCAAGUUCUACUUUCCUCCCACUCACUUCUUUCAAGAGAAACUCCUUCUCUAGAAAGGAUCCAUUCUUAGCAACGAAUGUUUUGCCUUUGGAUCUGUGAUAGAAGGUGUACCCAACAGUUUCCUUUGGGUAUUCUAUGAAGACGCACUUCUCCGAUUUGGGUUUGAGAUUAUCAGGUUGAAAACCUUUUCCAUAUAAGCAUCGCAACUCCAAACUUUAAGAAAUGACAGCUUAGGUUUACUGCUAAACCAUAGUUCAUACGGUGUCGUCUCAACGGAUUUAGAUGGUGCCCUUUUUAAACGUGAAUGCAGCUGUCUCUAAUGCACAACCCCAAAACGAUAGUGGUAAAACCGAUAAGAGACAUCAUAGAUCGCACCAUAUCCAAUAAAGUGCGGUUACGACGUUCGGACACACCAUAACGUUGUGGUGUUCCAGGUGGCGUGAGCUGUGAAACUAUUCCACAUUGUUUUAAUUGAAGACCAAACUCGUAACUCAAAUAUUCGUCUCCGCGAUCAGAUCGUAGAAACUUUAUUUUCUUGUUACGAUGAUUUUUCCACUUCACUCUGAAAUUCUUUGAACUUUUCAAUUAUUUCAGACUUAUGUUUCAUCAAGUAGAUAUACCCAUAUCUGCUCAAAUCAUUUUGUGAAGGUCAGAAAAUAACGAUACUUGCCAUGAGCAUCAACACUCAUUGGAUCGCAUACAUCGGUAUGUAUUAUUUCCAAUAAGUCAGUAGCUUGUUCCAUUGUUCCGGAGAACGGAGUUUUAGUCAUCUUGCCCAAAAGGAACGGUUCGCAAGCAUCAAAUGAUUCAUAACCAAGUGAUUCCGAAAAUCCAUCUUUAUGGAGUUUCUUCAUGCGCUUUACACCGAUAUGACCCAAACGGCAGUGCCACAAAUAAGUUGCACUAUCAUUAUUAACUUUGCAUCUUUUGGCAUCAAUAUUAUGAAUAUGUGUAUCACUAUGAUCGAGAUCCAACAAACUAUUUUCAUUGGGUGUAUAACCAUCGAAGGUCUUAUUCAUGUAAACAGAAUAACAAUUAUUCUCUAACUUUAAAUGAAUAACCGUAUCGCAAUAAACACGAUCAAAUCAUGUUCAUGCUCAACGCAAAUGCCAAAUAACAUUUAUUUAGGUUUAACACUAAUCCCGAAAGUAUAGGGAGUGUGCGAUGAUGAUCAUAUCAAUCUUGGAACUACUUCCAACACUCAUCGUCACUUCCCCUUCAACUAGUCUCUGUUUAUUCUGUAACUCCUGUUUCAAGUUACUAAUCUUAGCAACCGAACAAGUAUCAAAUACUCAGGAGCUACUAUAAACACUAGUAAGGCACACAUCAAUAACCUGUAUAUAAAAUAUACCCUUGUUCACUUUGCCAUCCUUCUUAUCCACCAAAUAUUCAGGGCAUUUCCGCUUCCAGUGACCAUUUCCUUUGCAGUGUAAGCACUCAGUUUCAGGCUUUGGUUCAGCUUUGGGCUUCUUCGUGGGAGUGACAACUUGCUUGUCAUUCUACUUGAAGUUCCCUUUCUUUCCCUUUGCCCUUUUCUUGAAACUAUUGGUCUUGUCAAUCAUCAACACUUGAUGCUCUUUCUUGAUUUCUACCUUCAUCGAUUUCAACAUCACGAAGAGCUCGGGAAUUGUUUUCGUCAUCCCUUGCAUACUAUAGUUCAUCACGAAGUUCUAGUAACUUAGUGAUGGUGACUAGAGAAUUCUGUCAAUCACUAUCUUAUCUGGAAGAUUAACUCCCACUUGAUUCAAGUGAUUGAAGUACCCAGACAAUCUGAGCACAUGCUCACUAGUUGAGCGAUUCUCCUCCAUCUUUUAGCUAUAGAACUUGUUGGAGACUUCAUAUCUCUCAACUCGGGUAUUUGCUUGAAAUAUUAACUUCAACUCCUGGAACAUCUCAUAUGGUCCAUGACGUUCAAAACGUCUUUGAAGUCCCGAUUCUAAGCCGUUAAGCAUGGUGCACAAAACUAUCAAGUAGUCAUCAUAUUGAGCUAGCCAAACAUUCAUAAUGUCUGCAUCUGCUCCUGCAAUAGGUCUGUCACCUAGCGGUACAUUAAGGACAUAAUUCUUCUGUGCAGCAAUGAGGAUAAACCUCAGAUCACGGAUCCAAUCCCCAUCAUUGCUACUAACAUCUUUCAACACAAUUUUCUCCAGGAACAUAUCAAAAUAAACAUAUGAAAGCAACAACGCAAGCUAUUGAUCUACAACAUAAUUUGCAAAAUACUACCAGGACUAAGUUCAUGAUAAAUUAAAGUUCAAUUAAUCAUAUUACUUAAGAACUCCCACUUAGACAGACAUCUCUCUAGUCAUCUAAGUGAUCACAUGAUCCAAAUCAACUAAACCAUGUCCGAUCAUCACGUGAGAUGGAGUAGUUUUCAAUGGUGAACAUCACUAUGUUGAUCAUAUCUACUAUAUGAUUCACGCUCGACCUUUCGGUCUCCGUGUUCCGAGGCCAUAUCUGUAUAUGCUAGGCUUGUCAAGUUUAACCCGACUAUUCCGCGUGUGCAACUGUUUUGCACCCGUUGUAUUUGAACGUAGAGCCUAUCACACCCGAUCAUCACGUGGUGUCUCAGCACAAAGAACUUUCACAACAGUGCAUACUCAGGGAGAACACUUCUUGAUAAUUAGUGAGAGAUCAUCUUAAAAUGCUACCGUCAAACAAAACAGAAUAAGAUGUAUAACAGAUAAACAUCAUAUGCAAUCAAAAUAUGUGACAUGAUAUGGCCAUGAUCAUCUUGCGCCUUUGAUCUCCAUCUCCAAAGUGAUGUCAUGAUCUCUAUCGUUACCGGCACGACACCAUGAUCUUCAUCAUCUUGAUCUAUAUCAAUGUGUCGUCACAUGGUCGUCUCGCCAACUAUUGCUCUUGCAACUAUUGCUAUCGCAUAGUAAUAAAGUAAAGCAAUUAUUUGGCACUUACAUCUUAUGCAACAAAGAGACAACCAUAGGGCUUCUGCCAGUUGCCGAUAACUUCAACAAAACAUGAUCAUCUCAUACAACAACUUAUAUUUCAUCACGUCUUGACCAUAUCACAUCACAACAUGCCCUGCAAAAACAAGUUAGACGUCCUCUACUUUGUUGUUGCAAAUUUUACGUGGCUGCUACGGGCUGAGCAAGAACCGUUCUUACCUACGCAUCAAAACCACAACGAUAGUUCGUCAAGUUAGUGUUGUUUUAACCUUCGCAAGGACCGGGCGUAGCCACACUCGGUUCAACUAAAGUUGGAGAAACAGACACCCGCUAGUCACCUGUGUGCAAAGCACGUCGGUAAAACCAGUCUCGCGUAAGCGUACGCGUAAUAUCGGUUCGGGCCGCUUUAUCCAACAAUACCGCCGAACCAAAGUAUGACAUACUGGUAAGCAGUAUGACUUGUAUCGCCCACAACUCACUUGUGUUCUACUCGUGCAUAUAACAUCAACGCAUAAAACCUAGGCUCGGAUGCCACUGUUGGGGAACGUAGUAAUUUCAAAAAAAAUUCCUACGUACACGCCAGAUCAUGGUGAUGGCAUAGCAACGAGAGGGGAGAGUGUUGUCCACGUACCCUCGUAGACCGUAAGCGGAAGCGUUAUGACAACGCGGUUGAUGUAGUCGUACGUCUUCACGAUCCGACCGAUCCAAGUACCGAACGUACGUCACCUCCGAGUUCAGCACACGUUCAGCUCGAUGACGAUCCCCGGGCUCCGAUCCAGCAAAGCUUUGGGGAUGAGUUCCGUCAGCACGACAGCGUGGUGACGAUGAUGAUGCUCUACCGGCGCAGGGCUUCGCCUAAACUCCGCGACGAUAUGACCGAGGUGGAAUAUGGUGGAGGGGGGCACCGCACACGGCUAAGGAACGAUCCGUAGAUCAACUUGUCUUGUGCCUAGAGGUGCCCCCCUGCCUCCGUAUAUAAAGGAGCAAAGGGGAGGGGGCGGCCGGCCUAGGAGGGGCGCGCCAAGGGGAGUCCUACUCCCACCGGGAGUAGGACUCCCUCCUUCCUUGUUGGAGUAGGAGAAGGGGGAAAGAGGGGGAGAGGAGGAAGGAAAAGGGGGCCGCACCCCUUGUCCAAUUCAGACCAGAGGGGGGCUGCGCGCCUCCUUCCUUUCGGCCUCUCUCCUCUAUUCCCAUAUGGCCCAAUAAGGCCCAUAUACUCCCCGGCGAAUUCCCGUAACUCUCCGGUACUCCGAAAAAUACCCGAAUCACUCGGAACCUUUCCGAAGUCCGAAUAUAGUCGUCCAAUAUAUCGAUCUUUACGUCUCGACCAUUUCGAGACUCCUCGUCAUGUCCCCGGUUUCAUCCGGGACUCCGAACUCCUUCGGUACAUCAAAACUCAUAAACUCAUAAUAUAACUGUCAUCGAAACCUUAAGCGUGCAGACCCUACGGGUUCGAGAACUAUGUAGACAUGACCUAGAACUAUUCUCGGUCAAUAACCAAUAGCGGAACCUGGAUGCCCAUAUUGGUUCCUACAUAUUCUACGAAGAUCUUUAUCGGUCAAACCGCAUAACAACAUACGUUGUUCCCUUUGUCAUCGGUAUGUUACUUGCCCGAGAUUUGAUCGUCGGUAUCCAAUACCUAGUUCAAUCUCGUUACCGGCAAGUCUCUUUACUCAUUACGUAAUGCAUCAUCCCGUAACCAACUCAUUGGUCACAUUGCUUGCAAGGCUUAUAGUGAUGUGCAUUACCGAGAGGGCCCAGAGAUACCUCUCCGAUAAUCGGAGUGACAAAACCUAAUCUCGAAAAUGCCAACUCAACAUGUACCUUCGGAGACACCUGUAGUACUCCUUUAUAAUCACCCAGUUACGUUGUGACGUUUGGUAGUACCCAAAGUGUUCCUCCAGUAAACGGGAGUUGCAUAAUCUCAUAGUUACAGGAACAUGUAUAAGUCAUGAAGAAAGCAAUAGCAACAUACUAAACGAUCAAGUGCUAGGCUAAUGAAAUGGGUCAUGUCAAUCACAUUGUUCUCCUAAUGAUGUGAUCCCAUUAAUCAAAUGACAACACAUGUCUAUGGUUAGGAAACAUAACCAUCUUUGAUUAAUGAGCUAGUCAAGUAGAGGCAUACUAGUGACUAUAUGUUUGUCUAUGUAUUCACACAUGUAUCAUGUUUCCGGUUAAUACAAUUCUAGCAUGAAUAAUAAACAUUUACCAUGAAAUAAGGAAAUAAAUAAUAACUUUAUUAUUUCCUCUAGGGCAUAUUUCCUUCAGCGAGUCAAUGGUUGACUUGCAACUAAGGGCCUCGAGUUGCGAGUCAGGGUCCGACUUGCAACUGGGUCAGACACAACUACGAAAAACCAAACCCCCAGUUGCGAGUUGAGCGUUGACUCGUAACUAGGAGGGGCCAAGUAGCGAGUUAGGGGUCAACUUACAACUGGGCAAUCUACAACCACAAAAAAGGAGCCCUCAGUUGCGAGUUAGCGGUUGAUUUGCGACUAGGGCCUCGAGUUGCGAGUUAGGAUAGACUUGCAACUGGGGCAAACUUACAAGUACAAAAAGCAGCCCAGUUGCGAGUCAACGAUAGACUUGAAACUGGGGCCUUGGAUUGCAAGUCAAGGUUUGACUUGCAACUGGGUCAACUACAAACUACAAAAAGCAAGCCUCCGGUUGUGAGUCGAGGGUUGACUUGCAACUAGGGCCUCGGGUUGCAAGUCAAGGUUUGACUUGCAUCUGGGUCAAUUAGAAACUACAAAAAAACAAGCUCCCAGUUGUGAGCCAAGGGUUGACUUGCAACUGGGGCCUCGGGUUGGUUUGACUUGUAACUAGGGCCUCGGGUUGCAAGUCGAGGUUUGACUUGCAAUUGGAGCCUCGGGUUGCAAGUCGAGACUUGACUUGUAACUGGGGCAACUACAAAUUACGAAAACAAGCCCCCAGUUGCAAGUCUAUGGUCGAGUUGCAACUAGGGCAACCUAUAGCUACAAAAAAGUAAUCCUCCAGUUGCGAGUCGAGGGUUGAUUUGCAACUAGGGGGCCUCGAGUUGCAAAUCACGGGUCGGGUUGUAAUUGGGGCAACCUAAAUGUACGAAAAGGAGCUCCCAAUUGCGAGUCACGGGUUGAUUUGCAACUGGGGUCAACUACAACCAAGGAAAAACAAGUCCCCUGUUGCUAGUCGAUGGUUGACUUACAACUGAGGGCCUCGAGUUGUGAGUCAGUGUCCGACUUGUAACUUGGUCAACUACAAUUACGAAAAACAAGCCCACAAUUGCGAGUCGAGGGUUGACUUACAACUAGGGGGCCCAAAUUGCGAGUUAGGGGUCGACUUGCAACAGGGCAACCUAGAACUACAAAAAAAGCAGCUCUCAGUUGGGAGUCAGGGGUUGACUUGCAACUAGGGCCUCAAGUUACGAGUUAGGGUCGACUUGCAACUGGGCCGAACCAAUAAGUACAAAACAAAAAGCCCCCAACUGCGAGUCGAGGGUUGACUUGCAACUAGGGCCACGGGUUGCAAGUCGAGGCUUGACUUGUAACUAGAUCGACUACAAAUUAUGCAAAAACAAGCCCCCAGUUGUGAUUCGAUGGUUGAUUUGCAACCGGGGCCUUGGUUUGCAAAGUCGGUGCUUGACUUGCAACUAGGAAAAUUAUAAAAACUAUGAAACGUUGCGAAUUGAGGAUUGACUUGCAACUAGGGUGCCCCAAUAGUUGUGAGUUAGGGGUCGACUUGCAAGUGGAGCAACCUACAACUACAAAAAAGAAGGCCCCUAGUUGCGAGUCGAGGGUUCACUUGCAACUGUGGCCUCGAGUUGUAAGUCGAGGGUCAACUUGCAACUUGGGGCAAACUACUUUGAACAAAAAAGUGAAGAACAUUAAUACAUAGAUCUGAUAAAAAUUUAUUUACAAAAAAUAUAAUUCAUAGAAAAAGUUCAUGCAAGCAACUGAUGUUGGAUUACCGCUGAAGAGCGGAACUCGUCCCAUACAUAGACACGACACCUGCUUACGCCAAAAAAAUAAAAAAAAAGCGAUGAAAAUAAAUGACUUAACUGUUGAUUAUAUACAACAACUUGAAAUAAGAAAAUGAGAAAGAAAUAAAAAC
Molecule: long non-coding RNA, 14527 nt
Filed under: Triticum aestivum (bread wheat)
Lineage: Eukaryota; Viridiplantae; Streptophyta; Magnoliopsida; Poales; Poaceae
Description: long non-coding RNA (TAES_LNC003903)
Source: RNAcentral